UGAAAUGCACUUUACUGUUAAUGUUUCUGUAAAGACUAUAGCGCAGAGGAGAAAAAUACAGUCGUGCAUGGCCUCUGCGAUUCUGACGGGCGAAGCCGCCUGAAGUGGAACUAUGGGGUGCACCCAUAAUUCACUUCACAGCAAAGAUUAUCUCCCAACCUUCCGAUGGCACUUUCAGCCACCUAUAAUUCUUGUGUAUCUCUUUUGGAAAGGUGCAAGUGGUACACACUACGAAGGACAUUAAUUGUGAAGGCAUGGGACGGGGGCUCCACUGGCUGUCUCCAAUGGCAGUCUUAAGAACACCUGCAGGGAGCCAGCUGCAGACACCCGGGGACACUGGGCGGUUUCUCGUGUCUCCACCCGCUGAAGUUCGCUCUGGAGAAGCUAGCUGGUAUCUCCACGCAGACCGCGGCGCUCGCAGAUCUGCUCCAAGGGUCCCGGCGCUCCUGGGGAGCCGCGGAGGCCAGGCGGACCGCAGCGGAGCUGGGGACCCGGGGGCGAGCUCGGGGAGCCUUUCCAGACGAAACGCAGCGCACACCUCCCGGGCAGCGCCCAGAAUGGAGUGGGAGCUGAAUCUGCUGCUCUACCUGGCGCUCUUCUUCUUCCUGCUUUUCCUCCUGUUUCUCCUGCUCUUCGUGGUCAUCAAGCAGCUGAAGAACUCGGUGGCCAACACAGCCGGGACGCUGCAGCCCGGGCGCCUGUCACUGCACCGGGAGCCGUGGGGUUUCAAUAACGAGCAAGCUGUGUGACCCAGCGCUGAGCUGGUCUCAGUUCCGCGGGGAUCCAGAUCUAUGUCAUUGGGACCCAGGCUGGUGCCUUUGACUGGUGGCACCCAGGAUCAAACUCCGAUCACAGCCUGGGAACCCCGCAAAGCUGGACAGUGGGUGGUGAAAUUCUUCUUGCAAAAGGGCACAGGCGUGGCUGUGGGCCUGAUGCCAUCUGGUGCAGUCCUACAGCAUGAGGGAUUUGCCCAGAGUUCUCCCGGUGCAUGGGCUUCUGGGGAGGAAAGGAUUUGUUUUUGGUUCAUUGCAGAGGUGGAAACUUGGAACAAGGUAUGCAAAAAACAUGCAGCACCCUAUUUUUAAUGUGACAUUCUAUGUUCCCAAUUCUGCCUAGUUUCAGACAAAGUGCGCUAGAAUUCAAUUAUAAAUGAUGAGAAUUUUGAGCAUUGUGAAUGGUUAAGCCAUUUAAGGAUAGUGGGAAAUGUCCUCUCCCUCCCCCACAAGUCAUGAUUUAGAGACUUUUAGAAUUCUAGUUAUACUAAUGCAGAAUGUAUUUGCAGAGUUCUGUACUUUCAAAAUAACUUGCAGAUAGCCUGUGGUAUUUGUACUUAUCUAAACAGAGUCUGCAAUUAAAGCUCUAAGAUCUUUAGAAUUAGUCAGGUUCUGUAUUACAUACAAGGGCAAGUUCAGUGGUAGAUGUACUACUGGGGUUUUGUUUUGUUUUUUGCUUGAAUCAGUUAUACAAAUUCUUCAAAUAUCCAAUUGUUGUUUUGUUUACAUAAAUAAAUAAGGACUCAGAUUAAAAGCUAGUCUAAUUGUCUGAGGAGUAAGCAUUUUACCAAAUAGGAAUCUGGGAAACAAGAAAGGCAGCCUACCCCUGGAAAGAAAUCAUAAUUCGACAAACUGCGGGAAAAACCUCCUCCUGGAUCAAGCUAAAAAUCCCUCCUGUGAUUUGCAACAGCAGAUUCUUUGGUGAAGGGCCCUGCUCACCUCUGCUGCUCUUGGCCUGUGUCACAGAUCCAGAAUAAGCAGAUGGGUCCAAGUGAAUAAGCUCUACAUGCAACACUCAACCUUUACUUUGCUGGCAUUAACUCUCCAAAGUUACUGGAAUUUAUUGCAUAGGUCCAGGCAUUUUAGACAAAAUUGUUUUACUGUAGGAAGAAAUCUUACUCUCAGUUGAGAAUCAGGACGGAUUGUUAUUUCAAUGAAGUAGGACAUUACUAAGCAGGGGCUUGAACCAAUUAGGGGUCUUGUGGUUUCUCAUGUCACACUUAAUAUGAGGCAGUGAUGAUUUUUCCAGUUUCUGAUAUGGUCUCCAUGGCUCCCCACAAGGAGAAGGAAGCCAGGAGGAAAAACAGAACAUGCCAGUCUGAAUCCACAUCUUUCUAAAGAGCUUCUCCACAGCCAGAUCAUAUUUCAUUGGCUAAAACUAUGUCAAUGGCCAUUGUCCUCUGUAGGGUUCUUUAAUGAUAUAGUUGUUUCCUUUAGCUAAAAUCCGAGCUCUUUAGAUAAGAACAAUGUGGGUGGAUCUUGGGUGGACAACCAGCAGUCUAGGCCCUGGUUACAAAGUACAGUUGUGCAGAAGCAUAGUGUUCAAGAAAGGUGAAACUUAAGGUUUCCUCCCUCCCACCUGGUGUGGCGUGAGAACACAUCUCCAGGUGAUAUGGCUGAGCAGAGUGAAGAUGUCUCCUUAGUUCUCAGGAAAUGUUUGUCAGGUCUGGCUUCUCUCUGGGCAGCUGACUUCCCCUGCACCAGGAGUUUCUAGUCAAGUAUCCUGGAAGCCUGCACAUUUGUGAUUGUGUGUGUAGUAGGGUCUUCACAAUCUCUUCAUGGAGCUUUGGUGUGGGAUCAAAAUGGGUUGUUUUCUUUUGCUCCUUUGUCGUCUGCUCCAUCAUUUUCAUGCUCAUUAAAUUUUGGUGGUAACCAAGUUUGUGUAUUUGAUCCCCAUAAAGGCCAUCCCUUUCAUACACAGAAGAAGGCACUCUGUGCUUAGAAACGCUACCUCUCUUCCUUCUGCGACUCCACUCUCAAUCCAGGAAUAUCCUGGGAGAUCGCCUCUGGAGCUGCUUCUACUCACAGCCUACGUAGUGGCCAAGCAGAGGGAGAAGAAACACUUCCCACACCCAGAGCUGUGCAAAAGAACUUUCUGUGAUAUGGAACAGUUCUAUAUCUGUGAUGCCCAAUACGGCAAGUACUAGUCACAUGUGUCUAGUAAACACUGAAGUAUGGCUAGCGGGGUUUAAAUUUUACUUAAUUUCACCUGAGACAGCCACAUGGGGACAGUGGCUUUUGUAUGUACUGUUCAUACCAUUCUCUCUCUUGGGUGUGUUUUAGAGUUACAGGGGGAGGUGGCAGCUAGCCACAUGCUCCACAUCCAUGGGCUUCACUGCGCCUCUUACGUUGAGUUUGUCUCCUUGAGGAAAAGGAAAAUUAGUGUGUUGGAACUAAAUUAAAAAUGUUACCCUCUACCUACUGCAUGUCUUCUUGUACCAAAUGGGAUGGGUUUUAGUGACAAACAAUCCCGGAAAAAAUGGCAGUGCUGAUCCACCACGUGCCCUUGACCCUGGUCGGUGUUCCCAACAGAGGUCAUUUUGUCUUGUGCAGUGUGGCCCAUUUUUGUUCACUUUUUAAUAUUGUAAAUGCCAAAUGAUUAU
Onychomys torridus (southern grasshopper mouse) is the source of this 3376-nucleotide RNA transcript. It is a transcript of the gene named small integral membrane protein 43, with no coding region annotated. The record is from RefSeq and is a predicted model, not a curated record. NCBI's taxonomy places the organism in Eukaryota, Metazoa, Chordata, Mammalia, Rodentia, Cricetidae. The transcript has 3 exons.